RNAcentral lists this ribosomal RNA (333 nucleotides) under Triticum aestivum (bread wheat). RNAcentral's name for it is "partial small subunit ribosomal RNA". The record is from RNAcentral. Lineage: Eukaryota; Viridiplantae; Streptophyta; Magnoliopsida; Poales; Poaceae.
AUGGUGCAGACAUGCUUGGACUCGGCCCUCCCAGCAUCGUCAGGCUUGCGUACGCGUCCACCGGCGAAAACAGCAACAGACGCGUCCUCUGAUGCAGACCUGGCAUGGCAUGCCCGCCGUGCGAGGCAGAAGACACGGGAGACGGCGGCAUCCCUCACGGCGGUGGACGUCGGCGAGGCGGAGUUGCAUUCUGCGGCGCCCCGUAUGGUUCAGCAGUCCGGGCGCCACAACCGCAUUGUGGUAGAUGUCGCCGGCUCGUCCCAGGGCGGAUCCAUCAUUGAUCUGGCAUCCACCGACACUGUCCGGGUUCCAGACUCCGACGAGAAAGAGUAA